Lactuca sativa (garden lettuce) is the source of this 1786-nucleotide long non-coding RNA. RefSeq lists it as uncharacterized. NCBI's taxonomy places the organism in Eukaryota, Viridiplantae, Streptophyta, Magnoliopsida, Asterales, Asteraceae. The record is from RefSeq and is a predicted model, not a curated record.
ACCUUCUCCCUUAUCUCUUCAAUUCUAAUGCUUUCUCUUAAUUCUUGAAUUUGAUUAACUAAAUUCUAGUUUCCUUUCAAAUUUUGAUUCCCAUUUGUUUAUACCUAUUUAAUUUGCUAAAGUUUGUUCAUUUAAUUUUGAUUUUGUUCGAGUUUUGACAGAUGUAGAAGAGUUCUAUCAGCAGUGCGACCCUAUUUAGUGUUCUUUUUGUUUAAUUCCGUUCGAAUAGGUUUUAACAAUUCCUAAAAAUCCUGCUUACAGACAUUAACCAAAGAAAAAUUACACUUACAGAAUCAAACACAAUGUCCAAUAAGUGGUCUUUUAGGAAGAAUUUUGGGAGGAUAUAACAAUAAUCUUAACUAUAUCUUCUACUCUUUUCUUUCCAUGAAUUCGAUUGUAACGAAAAUAUCAUAAACAACAUUAAAUACCAACAAAAUAAUCGAAUCUUUUUAAGAGAAAUCAACAUCAUGCAUCUCAAAAGUUUUUCAGACAUCCAAAAAUGGGCAUUACAAUUUCCAUAUACAGAAGGAAGUAUAAUUUUGUUCCUCUGUGUACAUCAGGUUCAUUUACUCUAUUUUAGUGUUGAAAAAUGUGCCCUUCAAUUUUCAUGUAUUUUGAUAUUGCUUUUGCUUUAUGUGAAAAUAAUAAUUAUAAUCAAUUACCUAUCUGUUGAUACAUCGAUUUAAGUCGUAGAAAGUUCGUCCCUAUUGUAGCAUGCUCAACCUCAUCUGUAAUGGGAACACACCCCUGUAGUUACUUUGUUAAUUAGAUUUAUCAUCUAUGUUGGCUAAUACCUUUGUAGGUUUCACUUUUCUAUAAAAUCAUUUUGGUCAUUUACUUUGUUAAUUAGAUUUGUCAUCUAUGUUGUGGGAUUUCUGCAGGAAAUGGCAUGAAGCACAGAUGCUAGCUGCUAGGCCGCUCCAAAGAAAUGAACACAACAACAGCAACAGUUGCUCAAACGGAGCAGGGCAGUACAAUAGUAUUGGCCAUAUUAGAUAGUGGUGGUGGCAAUGUGUGAACUUCCAUAGAUGGGAUAGAUUUUCCAUGAAGGGUUUUUCUCAAAUCAGUUGGAUCUCAUAUUUGGCAUCUGGAAGGAUGUAAGUGGGAAUGUUCGCUAUUGUCGCAAGGUCACAACUUGAACCUGUUUACCAUUCUUUUUGGCCAUAUAAAAACUGUUUGAUUCUUAUAUAUUUUUAAAUGAUAUUGGUAAGAAGAUAUGGUUAAGUGAACUGCAGGUGUGAAAUCGGUGGAUAGAGAUUGGAAGGUGAGGAAAUUGAUCACGCAUACAUCGAAAUUUUUUAGGGCUUCACAUUGGAUGGUUUAAUUCUAUUUCAAGGUUUCAUUUUUACAGUUUGAGGAUGAUAUUGCCCCUGAACAUUGUUUUUAUAUUAAUAAAAUUCAAUAUUUAUUGUUUUAGGGCGAUAUUGCCCCUCCACUCUUUUAAUAUUAAAAAAAAUUCAUUUUUAGGACCAUAUUGCCCCUGCUUUUAUAUUAAUAAAAUUAAUUUCUUUACAGUUUUAUGACCAUAUUGCCCCUACUUUUGAAUAUGUUCAACAAUUUCAGGUAUUGUCAACAACAAACGUAAAGUACAAAUCUUGCAAAAUAGGUAUGGUGUUAUGGUGUGUUUCUGAAUAACAUCUAGGUUUUAUGCAAUUUAAUUUUUUUUAUACGCCCAAUAUUUUAUAUUUUGUUUUAUGGUAAAAAUCAUACUUUGUUUUAUGGUAAAAAAAUAUUGAGGUUAACAGUGUUUAUCCAAAAUGCUACUACAUACUGUUUUUUUUUUUUU